This 463-nucleotide ribosomal RNA is filed under the name uncultured bacterium. Its description in RNAcentral is "partial 16S ribosomal RNA". It matches the Rfam family "Bacterial small subunit ribosomal RNA", at positions 28 to 507 of the family's 1533-position model. The record is from RNAcentral.
GACGAACGCUGGCGGCGUGCUUAACACAUGCAAGUCGAGCGGUAAGGCCCUUCGGGGUACACGAGCGGCGAACGGGUGAGUAACACGUGAGUAAUCUGCCCAUCACUUCGGGAUAACUCCGGGAAACCGGUGCUAAUACCGAAUAUGACCACUUCAGGCAUCUGAUGGUGGUGGAAAGUUCCGGCGGUGAUGGAUGAGUUCGCGGCCUAUCAGCUUGUUGGUGGGGUAGUGGCCUACCAAGGCUUCGACGGGUAGCCGGCCUGAGAGGGUGACCGGCCACACUGGGACUGAGACACGGCCCAGACUCCUACGGGAGGCAGCAGUGGGGAAUAUUGGACAAUGGGCGAAAGCCUGAUCCAGCAACGCCGCGUGAGGGAUGACGGCCUUCGGGUUGUAAACCUCUUUCAGCAGGGACGAAGCGCAAGUGACGGUACCUGCAGAAGAAGCACCGGCCAACUACGUG